AUGUAUCAUAUGAAUUUUAUUAAUCGCUAUAGCACUAGCUGCGAUAAGGAAGAUUAUAAAAAGAAUCUUUAUAGACUCAAACGCGACAGAAACACAUUCGAAACUCUAUUUGGAGGAGAGUCUACAUUAGAAUCAUUUGCUAAUAAAAAUAAAAUUAACAGAACGAGUAAAAAAUAUAGAAAUUAUAACGUAAUAAAAUGUAUAAGUAGGCAGUUAAAUUAUUAUGUAAAUAAAGGUCCAAGUAAUGAAUCGGUUAAAAUAUUAAUUGAACAAGUAAGUUAUAUUAGUUUUUUUACUUUAAUAAAAAAUAUAUUAACAUAUUUACCUUUUCCUAUUACUAAUUAUUUAAUUGGAACAGUACAAUUAAAAAAUAUACUUAAUAACAGUGAUAAUUUAUGUUUUAAAUUAUAUACAAAAGAUGAAUUAAUGAAAUAUGUUUAUAAAAAUGAAGGGAAUAUAUUAGUAGACAAUCAAAUAUAUAUCUUGUUUGCAAAAUAUAAAAUAAUAAAAUAUAAAAAUGAACUUAUGAACCAUUCAUAUUUUUUUAAUGGAACUUAUACAAAUAAUAACAAUAAGAGUAACAAAUAUAGCAAUAAUAACAAUGUCAAUAAUGAUGAACAUAUGGAACUUAUUAAAAUGAGAAAUAUAUUAUUAGAAAAAACUCGUACAUUUAUGUAUAACAAUUAUGCAUUUGUAGAAGGUAGAAGUAAAAACAUAUCCUAUAUAUAUGAUAUAUGUCAUGCUCUAAAAUAUAAAACCAAUACAUUUUUAUUAUCAGUAUUUAUAUUUGACUGUUAUAUUAAUCGUGUUAAUCAAAUAACUAACAAAAAUCAUUAUAAAAAAAUAAAACUUUUAGUUAUUAUAUCUUCUAUUUUAUUAGCUAUUAUAAGAACACAAACUUUUAAAGUUGGGGAAAAAGUUCCAUGUCAUGUACAAAAAAUAUUAUUUUAUAUAAAUAGAAAAAAAAAUAUAAACAUAAGAUUUUCAUGUAUUCAAAUAGCAAAUAAACAAAUGGAAAUGUUAAAAUUCUUACCAAGUAAUUAUACUAAUUUAUUAACUUAUUCAGAGUUAGUUUAUAUUUAUCUUUAUAAUUUAAAAAAAUGUUCUGAAAUAUUCCCAGCUAUUAAAAUAUAUUUUACAUUUUUAGAAGAGUUUGGAUUUUUAUAUUAUAUAUUUGAUGUUAUAUAUACAUAUUCUAUGUAUAUUGUUUCAGUUGGAUUAUAUUCAGUCAUACCACCCAGUCGCAUUGCAGCUUGUAUUAUUUUAUAUUUUAGUAACGCUUUUUUUAACAGAGUAGGUAACAUUAAUUUAUUCCAAGAGCAAUUUUGUGAACAUAUUUUCCAUUUAUCCUAUACAAAUGAUUUGCUUGUGUGGUCAUAUCUUUUUUUCAAUAAUUUUAUUUAUUUUUUUGAAAAUUGUUUUAUACCUAAUAAAAAUUAUGUAAUGAUACAUUCAAUUUUUCAUGGAACAGGACGAAUGUUGAACCUUUAUAAAGCUUUCUAA
RNAcentral lists this long non-coding RNA (1503 nucleotides) under Piliocolobus tephrosceles (Ugandan red Colobus). RNAcentral describes it as "lncRNA (ENSPTEG00000006159.1)". Lineage: Eukaryota; Metazoa; Chordata; Mammalia; Primates; Cercopithecidae. The record is from RNAcentral.